AUGAACGCUGGCGGCGUGCCUAAUCCAUGCAAGUCGAGCGAACAGAUAAGGAGCUUGCUCCUUUGACGUUAGCGGCGGACGGGUGAGUAACACGUGGGUAACCUACCUAUAAGACUGGGAUAACUUCGGGAAACCGGAGCUAAUACCGGAUAAUAUUUCGAACCGCAUGGUUCGAUAGUGAAAGAUGGUUUUGCUAUCACUUAUAGAUGGACCCGCGCCGUAUUAGCUAGUUGGUAAGGUAACGGCUUACCAAGGCGACGAUACGUAGCCGACCUGAGAGGGUGAUCGGCCACACUGGAACUGAGACACGGUCCAGACUCCUACGGGAGGCAGCAGUAGGGAAUCUUCCGCAAUGGGCGAAAGCCUGACGGAGCAACGCCGCGUGAGUGAUGAAGGUCUUCGGAUCGUAAAACUCUGUUAUUAGGGAAGAACAUACGUGUAAGUAACUGUGCACGUCUUGACGGUACCUAAUCAGAAAGCCACGGCUAACUACGUG
RNAcentral lists this ribosomal RNA (496 nucleotides) under uncultured bacterium. RNAcentral describes it as "partial 16S ribosomal RNA". It matches the Rfam family "Bacterial small subunit ribosomal RNA", at positions 29 to 507 of the family's 1533-position model. The record is from RNAcentral.